UGGUCUUAAUUGGUUCACUGUACAUUGCUCAUCUUUUCAAUGGAAGUGGUCACCAAUUUCUGUUGACAGUAUAAUUGAGAGUGGCUGGUGGCCUGGUAGCCCUGAAAAUGUUCAUUACAUAUUAAGUCAAGAUGUCUUUAAUUUGUGGGAUGCAUUUAGAAAGAGGAUGCCUAGGUCAUCACAAUCUGCUUUUGUAAGAAGUUUGGAAGAUAUUUCCAGCUCUAGAGGAAGGGAAAAUGUUAUCAAUCCAGUCACAUUCAGAAAAUUGUUUGCUGAAUGGAGCUAUUGCUAACAUGAAAUUGACCUUCUUCAUGAGCAGACAUGGAAAAAUUGCCCUCCUUGUAGCAUUGAUCAACAUUCAUGUCAUGUUGAUGGAAAUCAAAAAGUGUACAGAUUCAGCAAAGUACCAAGGGGAACAGUGUUAUUAUCGUGAUGUAUUGAUUGCAAACAACAGUUUUGUGGACUCUCAUUUAAAAGUCUUGGUUCAAAGUCAAUUCAGAACAACAAAUUGGAGUUUCUUCGUUGAAAGGUGCCGCCGAAGAGUUCUUCCUUUUGCAUCAAACUGUUGAAAAUGCUCAACAUUUGGAGAAUUUUGUAAAAGCCAACGAUGAUCAAACGCCGACAUUAUUGGGUGAUAGGCGUUCGUUCAUGACGCUCAAAACAAAGUGAAACAACUUGAACAAAAUGCAACAAGAUUGCUGGAAUUGAAAAGACAGCUUUUAGAUGGACAUGUGAGAGGGGAGCAGCUUCUUGAGCAAGGAAAGUCGUAUUAAAAAUGUUGUAUUUUUCAGUCACUAGACACAUAAAAGAAGUAAUUUCUCUUGCUGGUCAGUUUUGUUGAGGGUUUUUUUAUGAGUAACUGUAAACAUUAUUUUAAAGUUCGUAGUAAAAUCAAAGUGAGUUAGAUAUUAGAUGUAGGCGACACAAAAUGCAAAAUAUGGAACAGUUUUAUUCGAGAUAAAUUGUGCUUUAUCUAAAAGUAAACGAGUAAAUACUAUCUACGCCAUCCUGGUAGAAGUAUGUAGACUUAUAUGUCAAAGGAUUUUAUAAUGUAAAAUUGCGAUUUGUCGUUGUUACGUAUAUUAUACAUGCACGUACUGUAGAUUCUAGCAAACGAAGAUCUUCCAUGAGAAGGAAAUGCGCUGAAGAGAAGUCCAAAAUAGCAUCCACCGUAGAAGAGUUAAAUUGCCUCUCAAAUCUGUGUGGUCUUCCUACGACAAGUGCGGAAGAAGUCAUGUGUAGAGAUUUUGUUUGGUCGUUUAACCAGUGUGACAUAGAUAGUACGACUUCACAUGGUGUGGUAAAGAAAAGCAAUUACAGUGCUAUGUAUAUUGUGACGUCCAUGCUCGCUUUUAGUUUCAACGAUUUUACUUUACAAGAUUUAGAUAUACCUGUGCGUUUCAAGGCACAAAUUGUCGAUACGUACAUGGUAGUUAAAAGAUUGGAAGAGGAAAAAGCACUUCUGAACAUGGAGAUGAAAAAUUAUAUGAUUUAUUAUUUGGAAAACGUUUUGCCUCUCCUUUGUGAAAGAAAAGAAAAGAUUAAAGAUAGGAUAAGUUAAA
Long non-coding RNA from Xenia sp. Carnegie-2017, 1562 nucleotides. RefSeq lists it as uncharacterized. The transcript is spliced from 4 exons. The record is from RefSeq and is a predicted model, not a curated record. NCBI's taxonomy places the organism in Eukaryota, Metazoa, Cnidaria, Anthozoa, Malacalcyonacea, Xeniidae.